Long non-coding RNA from Arabidopsis lyrata subsp. lyrata, 893 nucleotides. RefSeq lists it as uncharacterized. The record is from RefSeq and is a predicted model, not a curated record. NCBI's taxonomy places the organism in Eukaryota, Viridiplantae, Streptophyta, Magnoliopsida, Brassicales, Brassicaceae. The transcript has 4 exons.
AUCUUUAUCGGAAGUAUCUUAGCAAAAAUCUUAGGUUAGAAUUAAUUAAAAUUAAAUGAUAAAUCAGAGUUAAAGCUAAGAAACGUUGAAACGUUGCUUAGCUAAGGAACGUUACUUAAGCUAAGAGGGGAGACACGUGUAAAACAAAAGAAGAGAAAUUUUUUUUUGCCCGUGUUUCUUUUUCUCUCUCUCUCUCCGACGGCAAAAAAACGAAGAGAAAAUGCUUUCAAAUCUUCGUCUCCGCCGUUAAUUGUUACAGCCGGUGAAUCGGAGGAUGGCAUCUUCAUCAUCUCAACCGACGGCGGCUCUCCACGGCGCCUCUGGUUCAUCUAAUCGGCGAAGGAAGGUUUUUAAAUCGGAGAGUCAUUUAUGAAGUUCUCCGAGUUUUUUUUCAAGAAAUCUGACAAAAUCCGUGCUUUCGGGUGAAAUAUGUGAACACAUUAUUUAUGCACCGGCAACACACACAAGCUUUGCUUCUUUGCCAGACAUGCUUUUGCAAUGACGGGUUGGAGGCUUGGUUAUCUUGCUGGUCCUAAACAUAUUGUGGCAGCUUGCAGUAAAUUACAAGGCCAGGUUACUUCAGGAGCUAGUAGCAUUGCUCAGAAAGCGCAUGUGUUGCUGCACUUGGGUUAGGCAAAGCUGGAGGAGAUACAAUUGCAGAGAUGGUUAAAGCAUAUAGGGAAAGACGAGAUUUCUUGAUUAAAACUUCUAUAUGUUGUAACUUCUAUAUCAGCUUUGUCUCCAUUCCAAUAAAAAGCUCUCUCUUUAUACUUUGUUUUUUUUCCUUCAAGUUCGUGUAACCAAACCAACAAAAAACCAUUCUCUUCAUUGUAAAUAAUUUAUUAGAAUUUAAGGUUGCGUAUAAGAUCACGACAAAAGAAACAUUUUCCCUA